AGAAGCCACUGCUUUAUCUUUUGUUUAUUGCCCAACCUUUUAACUAUUUGCUUGAUGGAUUAGCUGAAUCUAGAAACUAGAGCUGUAAAUUAGCUAGAUUUUAUUUUUCUGGAAUAUUUACAUUCUGUUUAGCAUUCUGUUUAUUGAUAUUCCUUCGUUGUUAUGAAUGGUAUUUAACUGCUCCGUUGAUUAUCUCCUUUAAUGAAUACCUUAAUCAUUUGUUAAAUCUCUUUUCUCAUUCGUAUCUCUUCCAUGUUAAAUGCUACCUAUCAUGUCUCAAAUUAAUGUUGUUAUUAUUAUUCCUUUUGAUUUUUCUUGCCCUUACCAUAACACUUGAUGAAAAUUUCUAAUGCCUUCCAUGAUUCCAUCAUUGACUGCUG
This 380-nucleotide unclassified non-coding RNA is filed under the name Hevea brasiliensis (rubber tree). The record is from RNAcentral. Lineage: Eukaryota; Viridiplantae; Streptophyta; Magnoliopsida; Malpighiales; Euphorbiaceae.